RNAcentral lists this ribosomal RNA (403 nucleotides) under uncultured bacterium. RNAcentral describes it as "bacterial SSU rRNA". It matches the Rfam family "Bacterial small subunit ribosomal RNA", at positions 32 to 425 of the family's 1533-position model. The record is from RNAcentral.
AAUCAACGCUGGCGGCGUGCCUCAGACAUGCAAGUCGAACGAUUAAAGCUCUCUUCGGAGAGUGUAUAGAGUGGCGCACGGGUGAGUAACACGUAAGUAAUCUACCUUUGAGUGGGGAAUAACAGUCGGAAACGACUGCUAAUACCGCAUAAUGCAGCGGCAUCGCAAGAUGACAGUUGUUAAAGGAGCAAUCCGCUUAAAGAGGAGCUUGCGGCAGAUUAGCUUGUUGGUAAGGUAACGGCUUACCAAGGCUACGAUCUGUAUCCGGUCUAAGAGGACGGUCGGACACACUGACACUGAAUAACGGGUCAGACUCCUACGGGAGGCAGCAGUCGGGAAUUUUGGGCAAUGGGCGAAAGCCUGACCCAGCAACGCCGCGUGAAGGAUGAAGUAUUUCGGUAUG